UCGCGCAAUAACGUUGACCUCAUCGUUGGCAAAUCCAUCGCGUCUCUGACUGACGGUGUAUUUGUUUGUGUGUUGUCACUGUAUCAACGCUUCCCACCCCUCAUCAGGAGAACUCGCCUAUCGACAACCAUAGACAGACGCGCACACAGGAACACAUCCCACUUUUCCUUUCGUCUCUUCCAGCAUCAGACAGGGGCGUCGUUGCCAUGUUCUUCUCCACCUACGUGCUCACGAAGAAGGGCCCGCUCGCCAAGGUUUGGCUUGCCGCGCACUGGGACAAGCGACUCACCCGCCAUGAAGUGAAGGUGGUUGACCUCAGUCAGACUAUCCUCCACAUUGUCCGCCCUGUCGUCCCGAUCGCCCUGCGCACGUCCGGCGAGCUGCUCGUCGGUGUCGUGCGCAUCUACGCACUGAAGGUGAAGCACCUGCUGAAGGAGGCGACCGAGGCGACGCUCUUCUUGCGUGUGACGACUCUCGCGACGAAGGGUAGCAAGGCGGGUGUCGCCGGUCAGCACCGCACCACCUCGAUCGACGGCGUCGUGGUGCCAGUGAAGGGCAGCGAUGUCGAGGCCGUGACGUUUGACUGGAACGCCGACGUCGCCGCGAAGCACGGCGCGGUGGCAGACGCUGCUGAGGCUCUUGGCGAGGGCCGUUUUAAUGCCAUCGCUGAUCUGCUGGGAAACAGCCACCGCAUCGAAGUCUCCGAGACAGACAAGGAGGAUGCCCUCCUGGCGUCGGCGUGGUACACAGUGCAGCCAACGUCGCAGGCGGCAGGCGACGAGCUUCACACCAUGCAGCAGGACUACGACGAGAUCGCUAAGAUGCGGGCGGACUUGAUGGCCUUCGGCGAGCGCGCCAGCGGCAGCGCCAGCACCAGUAAGAGCAAGUCGAGUCUGUCGAGUAUGGAGAAGGGCCGUGGCAGCGUCGCCGUUGAUGUGGACGGCAUGGCGUUCCCCGCUGUCGGCGAUGAGCUGGAUAUUGGCGUCCCGCUCCCUGACGAGCUACCGCCGGGCUUCCCUGCUCUGGACGGGCAGGUGCCGGCGGGCAUGAUACCAACCGACCCGUUCCUGCUGCCGGACAUGAUGAACAUGAACGACGAGGCGGUGGCGGCGGCGCAGCGGUCACGCCCAGGUCGAAAGAUGCGGCCGGUGAACGUGUGCGACCUCGACUCCACGACUCUAUCACGCGAGGCCUUCGAGAAGUGCAUCGCAGACCGCAGCGACAUUCUCAACAGCGAGCCGCGCCGUGGUCCCUACGACGCGCAGGAGGAGGCUGAUCGCUAUACCGUGACGGGGUCCGCCAACGCGGCGAACGCGGUUGCUACUAACCCCGCGAUGGACGCGGCGCCUCUCUCUGGGGUUCUGAACCCGGCGCUUCGCCUCGCAUACGCGACAGCGCUGCGGCAGAGCGCCGAGGAAGCUGUCGCGAUGGCGGCGCAGGCGUUUCGGGAGUCGAUGGCACGGCGAAGCGAAGUCCCUGCCGGCGUCGGGGGCGCCCUCGAGGCAGACGAUGCGCAGGUUGCCGCGGCGGAUCUGGACGGCAGCUCCACGUUGCUGCCGGAAGAGGAGGUGGCGCAGCAGCGUCGCAAGCGCGGCCGCGACGACAGUUACGGAGUCGAUGACUCGACGAUGGCUACGGGUGUGUCGGCCAGUGCUCAGCAGACGCUGGAGCGCAUUCGAAUGGAGCUGUCGUUGCGCGCUGCGCGUGACCGCAAGAAGCCCCGCACGCAGUCGGUCGCCUCUCUCGUUGGUGCGAGCUGCGCGUUGCGGGAGGUGUGCCGUGGUCUACGCCGUCGCGAUGCCGCGCGCACGUUUGUGGACGUCCUCGCACUGGCAUCGAAACAGUACGUGAGCGCACAGCAGGCGCCGGGGUCUGAUGAGGUGCAGGUGACCCUGAACGAGUCGGCCCUGCGUCUGUUGGCUGCGGCGUGAGAGCGGCGUUAGAGGUGGGAUGAUCGACGAGAGCGAAGCUGCCGCGCUAGCCCCUUGUGUACUGCGCUGUGUGUGUGUGCGUCGCAUGCUCGCCUGUCUCGCUCUCCAUAAACCAUCGCGCCGUUCAAGAGCACUCUCAUUAUCAUAAUUAUCUCCCCUCAACUGCUAGUGCUACGGGUGCGCGGUGUUUCCCGUGCUGCUGUUGCCGCGGUGACUGGUGCUGGCUGACCUUCGCCCCGCACUGGCCACAUUGUCCUUCCGUUCCACCCGCUGUCCCCCACCCCCCACUCUCUCCAGCUGAAUGCUGCUUUGUUCUUGUUGUUUUCUUCUUCCAUAGAGCACCACCGCGAUGCGGGGCGGGGAGGGGUGGCACCGAUGUGGGUGCUCGUUGCUUAGCCGACCUGGUCCCCCCGCCUCAGGAGCUUGUUCUCUGUCUAUGGGUGUCUGUCUAUCUCCCUUUCUCUGCAUGUGUGUAUGCGCGCCAGAUCUUGAGGCGGUGGUGGUGGUGGGUGGAGGGCGGAGAGAUAGAGAGAGGGAGGGGGACGGAGGGUGCGUGAUGUCCCUCUCGUUGAUGGCCGACGGAGUCCACCUCCUCCCUCCUUUUCUUCAGCGCACACCCACACGCGCAGGGCAACCACAACUCUCUUGAAACCAUAGAAGCAGCUUUACGCACAUGCAUAUACGCACGUGCUUGUGAAAUCCAUCAUCAGAUCUAUGUGCACUGUGCUUGCAAAAGCGGAAUAGACCGGCUUGUCUGUGAUGAGCUCAUCAGAUACGCACACGCACACGUCUGCACAUGCACAUACAAGUCCCCUCCCUCCCCGUGUACACACGCCCAUGCUGGGGCCUCCCUCAUAGACAUGCGUGUCUUAUUUUCGAUUGAUUAUUCUCAAGCCCCAUUGCGGUAUACAUGUGUAUGUAUGCAUAUAUACACAUAUGCAUACGUACGUAUGCGUGUAUCUUUUUCCGUCUCGUGUGUUGAUUUCCUUUGGCUUAGGGGGUGCGCUCAUGUUGCGCACUUCUCUGUGAUGUUUGUGCUUGUCUUUGCGUGUCGCUUCUUUUGGUCUUACUUCUCAUUGUCUUUUGGUGUUGAUGCGCGUGCGCGAGCGCUGCGAGGCGGUGCUGACGGUGGCGAACAACCGAACCUGGCGAGAAGAAGGAAGGGGGAGGAUGAUCUUCAAGAGAGAGGGAGAGCGAGCAAGGAGGCACGUCGUGCUUGCGUGUACAUGUGGACUUCUCCACAGCUACACACGCAUACAUACACGCACACACACCCACAGAGGUAUACAGACAGACAGGCCGCUUCACACGUCUUUUGCGCACAACUCUUUGACUCUCUCGUGCCCUCUCUCCCCCCCUCUACGCGCCUAAUGAAUGCCGGCUGCGUCAUCUCCGGUCGGUCGCUUCAAUUUUUUUGUUGUUUCUUGAACUUUUAUGUUCUGGGCUUCACGCACCAUCACGCUCCCUCUCUCUUCACCCGGUAGCGUCUGCGCGUGUUUCUCUCAAUCGCUCGCUUGCCCUCUGCAUGUGUGUGUGUGUGUGCAUGGAGUGCGUCUUAUCCUUCGCGACUGAUUCUUCUUUCUUGUCUCUCUCCGUCGACCUUAAGUUCCACAUGCACACACACACACACACACACUCAGAU
RNAcentral lists this unclassified non-coding RNA (3573 nucleotides) under Leishmania donovani. RNAcentral's name for it is "gene:LdHU3.05.1220(CDS-product:double-strand-brea k_repair_protein_rad21_homolog_putative)". The record is from RNAcentral. Lineage: Eukaryota; Euglenozoa; Kinetoplastea; Trypanosomatida; Trypanosomatidae.